GACGUAGGGCGCGAGCGUUGUCCGGAUUUAUUGGGCGUAAAGAGCUCGUAGGCGGCUCGUUGCGUCGGCUGUGAAAACCCGCAGCUCAACUGUGGGCUUGCAGCUGAUACGGGCGGGCUGGGAUUCGGUAGGGGAGACUGGAAUCCCUGGUGUAGCGGUGAAAUGCGCAGAUAUCAGGAGGAACACCGGUGGCGAAGGCGGGUCUCUGGGCCGAUACUGACACUGAGGAGCGAAAGCGUGGGGAGCAAACAGG
Molecule: ribosomal RNA, 253 nt
Filed under: uncultured bacterium
Lineage: Bacteria
Description: partial 16S ribosomal RNA
Rfam family: Bacterial small subunit ribosomal RNA
Source: RNAcentral